RNAcentral lists this ribosomal RNA (497 nucleotides) under uncultured bacterium. Its description in RNAcentral is "partial 16S ribosomal RNA". It matches the Rfam family "Bacterial small subunit ribosomal RNA", at positions 28 to 507 of the family's 1533-position model. The record is from RNAcentral.
GACGAACGCUGGCGGCGUGCCUAAUACAUGCAAGUUGAGCGAUGAAGAUUGGUGCUUGCCCCAAUUUGAAGAGCAGCGAACGGGCGAGUAACGCGUGGGGAAUCUGCCUUUGAGCGGGGGACAACAUUUGGAAACGAAUGCUAAUACCGCAUAACAACUUUAAACAUAAGUUUUAAGUUUGAAAGAUGCAAUUGCAUCACUCAAAGAUGAUCCCGCGUUGUAUUAGCUAGUUGGUGAGGUAAAGGCUCACCAAGGCGAUGAUACAUAGCCGACCUGAGAGGGUGAUCGGCCACAUUGGGACUGAGACACGGCCCAAACUCCUACGGGAGGCAGCAGUAGGGAAUCUUCGGCAAUGGACGAAAGUCUGACCGAGCAACGCCGCGUGAGUGAAGAAGGUUUUCGGAUCGUAAAACUCUGUUGGUAGAGAAGAACGUUGGUGAGAGUGGAAAGCUCAUCAAGUGACGGUAACUACCCAGAAAGGGACGGCUAACUACGUG